GAUGAAGAACGCAGUGAAAUGCGAUAAGUAGUGUGAAUUGCAGAAUUCAGUGAAUCAUCGAAUCUUUGAACGCACAUUGCGCCCUUUGGUAUUCCUUAGGGCAUGCCUGUUCGAGCGUCAUUUAAACCUUCAAGCUCAGCUUGGUGAUGGGUGACUGUCCUCCCCUCGCGGGGGGACUCGCCUCAAAAACAUUGGCGGCCGGUACAUUGGCUUCGAGCGCAGCAGAAACGCGGUCUCGAGCCCGGUGGAUCGGCUCCCAUAAGUCUAUUCUUUUAUUUUGGCCUCGGAUCAGGUAGGGAUACCCGCUGAACUUAAGCAUAUCAAUAAGCGGAGGA
Molecule: unclassified non-coding RNA, 335 nt
Filed under: soil metagenome
Description: partial contains 5.8S ribosomal RNA, internal transcribed spacer 2, and large subunit ribosomal RNA
Rfam family: 5.8S ribosomal RNA (bases 1-120)
Source: RNAcentral